RNAcentral lists this ribosomal RNA (721 nucleotides) under uncultured bacterium. RNAcentral describes it as "bacterial SSU rRNA". It matches the Rfam family "Bacterial small subunit ribosomal RNA", at positions 28 to 776 of the family's 1533-position model. The record is from RNAcentral.
AACGAACGCUGGCGGCAGGCUUAACACAUGCAAGUUGAACGGGAACAUACGAUAGCUUGCUAUAGUAUGUGAGAGUGGCGCACGGGUGAGUAAUACAUGGGAACAUACCUUGAAGUGGGGGAUAACUUCUGGAAACGGAUGCUAAUACCGCAUAUACCCUGAGGGGGAAAGAUUUAUCGCUUUAAGAUUGGCCCAUGGCAGAUUAGGUAGUUGGUGGGGUAAAGGCCUACCAAGCCGACGAUCUGUAGCUGGUCUGAGAGGACGAUCAGCCACAUUGGGACUGAGACACGGCCCAGACUCCUACGGGAGGCAGCAGUGGGGAAUAUUGGGCAAUGGGCGCAAGCCUGACCCAGCAACGCCGCGUGAAGGAAGAAGGCUUUCGGGUUGUAAACUUCUUUUGUCAGGGACGAAUUCUGACGGUACCUGACGAAUAAGCCACGGCUAACUACGUGCCAGCAGCCGCGGUAAUACGUAGGUGGCAAGCGUUAUCCGGAUUUACUGGGUGUAAAGGGCGUGUAGGCGGGACUGCAAGUCAGAUGUGAAAACCAUGGGCUCAACCUGUGGCCUGCAUUUGAAACUGUAGUUCUUGAGUGUCGGAGAGGUAAUCGGAAUUCCUAGUGUAGCGGUGAAAUGCGUAGAUAUUAGGAGGAACACCAGUGGCGAAGGCGGAUUACUGGACGAUAACUGACGCUGAGGCGCGAAAGCGUGGGGAGCAAACAGG